RNAcentral lists this ribosomal RNA (843 nucleotides) under Pyrenophora tritici-repentis. RNAcentral's name for it is "eukaryotic LSU rRNA". It matches the Rfam family "Eukaryotic large subunit ribosomal RNA", at positions 79 to 936 of the family's 3401-position model. Lineage: Eukaryota; Fungi; Ascomycota; Dothideomycetes; Pleosporales; Pleosporaceae. The record is from RNAcentral.
CCUAGUAACGGCGAGUGAAGCGGCAACAGCUCAAAUUUGAAAUCUGGCUCUUUUAGAGUCCGAGUUGUAAUUUGCAGAGGGCGCUUUGGCUUUGGCAGCGGUCCAAGUUCCUUGGAACAGGACGUCACAGAGGGUGAGAAUCCCGUACGUGGUCGCUAGCUAUUGCCGUGUAAAGCCCCUUCGACGAGUCGAGUUGUUUGGGAAUGCAGCUCUAAAUGGGAGGUAAAUUUCUUCUAAAGCUAAAUACUGGCCAGAGACCGAUAGCGCACAAGUAGAGUGAUCGAAAGAUGAAAAGCACUUUGGAAAGAGAGUCAAACAGCACGUGAAAUUGUUGAAAGGGAAGCGCUUGCAGCCAGACUUGCUUGCAGUUGCUCACCCGGGCCUCUGUGCCCGGUGCAUUCUUCUGCAGGCAGGCCAGCAUCAGUUUGGGCGGUGGGAUAAAGGUCUCUGUCACGUACCUCUCUUCGGGGAGGCCUUAUAGGGGAGGCGACAUACCACCAGCCUGGACUGAGGUCCGCGCAUUUAUGCUAGGAUGCUGGCGUAAUGGCUGUAAGCGGCCCGUCUUGAAACACGGACCAAGGAGUCUAACAUCUAUGCGAGUGUUUGGGUGUCAAGCCCGAACGCGUAAUGAAAGUGAACGGAGGUGGGAACCCGCAAGGGUGCACCAUCGACCGAUCCUGAUGUCUUCGGAAGGAUUUGAGUAAGAGCAUGGCUGUUGGGACCCGAAAGAUGGUGAACUAUGCUUGAAUAGGGUGAAGCCAGAGGAAACUCUGGUGGAGGCUCGCAGCGGUUCUGACGUGCAAAUCGAUCGUCAAAUUUGGGCAUAGGGGCGAAAGACUAAUC